Molecule: unclassified non-coding RNA, 359 nt
Filed under: soil metagenome
Description: partial contains 5.8S ribosomal RNA, internal transcribed spacer 2, and large subunit ribosomal RNA
Rfam family: 5.8S ribosomal RNA (bases 1-120)
Source: RNAcentral
GAUGAAGAACGUAGCGAAAUGCGAUAAGUAAUGUGAAUUGCAGAAUUCAGUGAAUCAUCGAAUCUUUGAACGCACAUUGCGCCCGCCAGUAUUCUGGCGGGCAUGCCUGUUCGAGCGUCAUUUCAACCAUCAAGCCCCCGGGCCUGUGUUGGGGACCUGCGGCUGCCCGCAGGCCCCGAAAACCAGUGGCGGGCUCGCUGUCACCCCGAGCGUAGUAGCAACACCUCGCCCAGGGAGUGCCGCGGGCACCGGCCGUAAAACCUCCUCUCGCCCCCCCCCGCGGGAGGGAACACCCCAAAGGUUGACCUCGGAUCAGCUAGGAAGACCCGCUGAACUUAAGCAUAUCAAUAAGCGGAGGA